UACGGGGGGAGCAAGCGUUGUUCGGAUUUACUGGGCGUAAAGGGCGCGUAGGCGGCCACCGCAAGUCGGUUGUGAAAUCUCUGGGCUUAACCCAGAAAGGUCAACCGAUACUGCGGGGCUAGAGUGCAGAAAGGGCAACUGGAAUUCUCGGUGUAGCGGUGAAAUGCGUAGAUAUCGAGAGGAACACCUGCGGCGAAGGCGGGUUGCUGGGACGGUACUGACGCUGAGGCGCGAAAGCGUGGGGAGCAAACAGG
RNAcentral lists this ribosomal RNA (254 nucleotides) under uncultured bacterium. RNAcentral's name for it is "partial 16S ribosomal RNA". It matches the Rfam family "Bacterial small subunit ribosomal RNA", at positions 524 to 776 of the family's 1533-position model. The record is from RNAcentral.